UUGCUAUGAUGAAAACUAUGUAUUGAUGGCAUUCAUUGAGUGCUUUGUGAUACAUCGACAUUUAUGUCGAACCUGAACGGUUACCUGAGAAA
Molecule: small nucleolar RNA, 92 nt
Organism: Vicia villosa (hairy vetch)
Lineage: Eukaryota; Viridiplantae; Streptophyta; Magnoliopsida; Fabales; Fabaceae
Product: small nucleolar RNA snoR128
Exons: 1
Source: RefSeq, a predicted model, not a curated record